UAAUGGUUGAUCACACAAACUAAAAUAAGAUUGUCCUACUGUAGAGCUUACCCCUUAUAGUGAAAAGGUUGUUCUAAUUUGUGCUGAUCUUUGAUAAAAUCUGAUUUUAUAUGUUACAUAUGAUAUUUUGAUCUAAUUUAGAUGUGAUCUAAAAUUAUGAUUAGAUCAAAUAUAAUUUAGAUUAGAUCUAAAUUUAUACAUAUAUGAUAUGUUUUGAUUAGAUGCCUAGUAGUCAAGUAAUCGGAUUAAACAUUCUUGGCUGUC
RNAcentral lists this long non-coding RNA (264 nucleotides) under Elaeis guineensis (African oil palm). RNAcentral describes it as "long non-coding RNA (EGUI_LNC059843)". Lineage: Eukaryota; Viridiplantae; Streptophyta; Magnoliopsida; Arecales; Arecaceae. The record is from RNAcentral.